RNAcentral lists this ribosomal RNA (254 nucleotides) under uncultured bacterium. Its description in RNAcentral is "partial 16S ribosomal RNA". It matches the Rfam family "Bacterial small subunit ribosomal RNA", at positions 524 to 776 of the family's 1533-position model. The record is from RNAcentral.
UACGAAGGGGGGCUAGCGUUGCUCGGAAUUACUGGGCGUAAAGCGCACGUAGGCGGCUUUCUAAGUCGGGGGUGAAAUCCUGGAGCUCAACUCCAGAACUGCCUUUGAUACUGGCGGCCUUGAGUCCGGGAGAGGUGAGUGGAACUGCGAGUGUAGAGGUGAAAUUCGUAGAUAUUCGCAAGAACACCAGUGGCGAAGGCGGCUCACUGGCCCGGUACUGACGCUGAGGUGCGAAAGCGUGGGGAGCAAACAGG